UUGACCUCGGAUCAGGUAGGGAUACCCGCUGAACUUAAGCAUAUCAAUAAGCGGAGGAAAAGAAACCAACAGGGAUUGCCCUAGUAACGGCGAGUGAAGCGGCAACAGCUCAAAUUUGAAAUCUGGCUCUUUCAGAGUCCGAGUUGUAAUUUGCAGAGGGCGCUUUGGCUUUGGCAGCGGUCCAAGUUCCUUGGAACAGGACGUCACAGAGGGUGAGAAUCCCGUACGUGGUCGCUAGCUAUUGCCGUGUAAAGCCCCUUCGACGAGUCGAGUUGUUUGGGAAUGCAGCUCUAAAUGGGAGGUAAAUUUCUUCUAAAGCUAAAUAUUGGCCAGAGACCGAUAGCGCACAAGUAGAGUGAUCGAAAGAUGAAAAGCACUUUGGAAAGAGAGUCAAACAGCACGUGAAAUUGUUGAAAGGGAAGCGCUUGCAGCCAGACUUGCUUGCAGUUGCUCAUCCGGGCUUUUGCCCGGUGCACUCUUCUGUAGGCAGGCCAGCAUCAGUUUGGGCGGUGGGAUAAAGGUCUCUGUCACGUACCUCUCUUCGGGGAGGCCUUAUAGGGGAGACGACAUACCACCAGCCUAGACUGA
This 588-nucleotide ribosomal RNA is filed under the name Bipolaris victoriae. RNAcentral's name for it is "eukaryotic LSU rRNA". It matches the Rfam family "Eukaryotic large subunit ribosomal RNA", at positions 1 to 592 of the family's 3401-position model. Lineage: Eukaryota; Fungi; Ascomycota; Dothideomycetes; Pleosporales; Pleosporaceae. The record is from RNAcentral.